RNAcentral lists this ribosomal RNA (486 nucleotides) under uncultured bacterium. RNAcentral describes it as "partial 16S ribosomal RNA". It matches the Rfam family "Bacterial small subunit ribosomal RNA", at positions 30 to 507 of the family's 1533-position model. The record is from RNAcentral.
AUUGAACGCUGGCGGCAUGCCUUACACAUGCAAGUCGAACGGCAGCACGGGUGCUUGCACCUGGUGGCGAGUGGCGAACGGGUGAGUAAUACAUCGGAACAUGUCCUGUAGUGGGGGAUAGCCCGGCGAAAGCCGGAUUAAUACCGCAUACGAUCCACGGAUGAAAGCGGGGGGCCUUCGGGGCUCGCGCUAUAGGGUUGGCCGAUGGCUGAUUAGCUCGUUGGUGGGGUAAAGUCCUACCAAGGCGACUAUCAGUAGCUGGGCUGAGAGGACGACCAGCCACACUGGGACUGAGACACGGCCCAGACUCCUACGGGAGGCAGCAGUGGGGAAUUUUGGACAAUGGGCGAAAGCCUGAUCCAGCAAUGCCGCGUGUGUGAAGAAGGCCUUCGGGUUGUAAAGCACUUUUGUCCGGAAAGAAAUCCUUGGCCCUAAUACGGUCGGGGGAUGACGGUACCGGAAGAAUAAGCACCGGCUAACUACGUG